CCGCCCCAAGAUGAGAUCUCCCUUAAGGGCCGUGGGAGACUACCACGUCGAUAGGCCGCAGGUGUAAAGUCAGAAAUGGCACAGCCGAGCGGUACUAAUUGCCCGAGCGCGUUCUCAA
Molecule: ribosomal RNA, 118 nt
Filed under: Pontibacter diazotrophicus
Lineage: Bacteria; Pseudomonadati; Bacteroidota; Cytophagia; Cytophagales; Hymenobacteraceae
Description: partial 23S ribosomal RNA
Rfam family: Bacterial large subunit ribosomal RNA
Source: RNAcentral